UGGGGAAUUGUUCACAAUGGGCGCAAGCCUGAUGACGCAACGCCGCGUGGAGGAUGAAGGUCUUCGGAUUGUAAACUCCUGUUGCUCGGGACGAAAUGCUCCAACCUAAUACGUUGGAGUUUGACGGUACCGAGUGAGGAAGCCCCGGCUAACUCUGUGCCAGCAGCCGCGGUAAUACAGAGGGGGCAAGCGUUGUUCGGAAUUACUGGGCGUAAAGGGCGCGUAGGCGGCCUGUUAAGUCGAACGUGAAAUCCCCGGGCUCAACCCGGGAACUGCGUCCGAAACUGGCAGGCUCGAAUUCGGGAGAGGGAUGCGGAAUUCCAGGUGUAGCGGUGAAAUGCGUAGAUAUCUGGAGGAACAUCGGUGGCGAAGGCGGCAUCCUGGACCGAUAUUGACGCUGAGGCGCGAAAGCCAGGGGAGCAAACGGGACUAGAUACCCCGGUAGUCCUGGCCCUAAACGAUGAAUGCUUGGUGUGGCGGGUAUCGAUCCCUGCCGUGCCGAAGCUAACGCAUUAAGCAUUCCGCCUGGGGAGUACGGUCGCAAGGCUG
This 549-nucleotide ribosomal RNA is filed under the name uncultured bacterium. RNAcentral's name for it is "bacterial SSU rRNA". It matches the Rfam family "Bacterial small subunit ribosomal RNA", at positions 355 to 896 of the family's 1533-position model. The record is from RNAcentral.